This 879-nucleotide ribosomal RNA is filed under the name Cantharellus luteolus. Its description in RNAcentral is "partial large subunit ribosomal RNA". It matches the Rfam family "Eukaryotic large subunit ribosomal RNA", at positions 87 to 977 of the family's 3401-position model. The record is from RNAcentral. Lineage: Eukaryota; Fungi; Basidiomycota; Agaricomycetes; Cantharellales; Hydnaceae.
CUGCGAGUGAAGAGGGAAGAGCUCAUCAUUGGAAUCUGGCAGCGUCGCGCUGUCCGAGUUGUAGAUGAGAAGAGUAGGCCAUCUGGGCUGCAUGGUGUCCAAGUACAAUAGGCCGUCAGUGGGACAUCAUAGAGGGUGACAAUCCCGUCCUUGACACCAAUGUACGAGUCCUUUACGAUGCCUAUCUCGGAGAGUCGAGCAGUUUGGGAUUUGCUGCUUAAACAUGGGAGGUAGAUUCCUUCCAAAGCUAAAUACAGGCAAGAGACCGAUAGAGAACAAGUACCGCAAGGGAAAGAUGAAAUAGAACUCUGUGAAGGGAGUCAAAAGACGUGAAAUUGUUGCGAGAGAAGCGAUUCAAGUCAGCGUAGCUGGACCCAUCAAGCCUCGCGCUUUGGACCAGCUUUGCCAGCGGUCUUGUCCCUAGAGACUUGACUAAGGUGCCCUGCCCGGUCUGACGGGCAGACCUCCCCUGGAGGCCAGUGGCAUGGCUGGUGGAAUGGCUUGCAAUCGACCCGUCUUGAAACACGGACCAAGGAGUCUAACAUGCAUGCGAGUAUAAGGGUGGCAAACCCGUAUGCGCAAAGAAAGUGAUAGCCUUUUAUGGCCGAGAAUGACCUGAUGACUAGACAAGCAAUAUUAUGUUCCUCGUACGGUCAUUGCCCAAGUCCCAUAUGGUUAGAUCCCAUGGACAUGGAGUUGGAGCGUGCAUGCUAGGACCCGAAAGAUGGUGAACUAUGCCUGGACAAAGCGAAGCCAAAGGAAACUCUGGUGGAGGCUUGUAGCGAUUCUGACGUGCAAAUCGAUCGUCUGAUCUGGGUAUAGGGGCGAAAGACUAAUCGAACCAUCUCAUAGCUGGUUCCUGCCGAAGUUUCCCUCAGG